RNAcentral lists this ribosomal RNA (205 nucleotides) under uncultured bacterium. RNAcentral describes it as "partial 16S ribosomal RNA". It matches the Rfam family "Bacterial small subunit ribosomal RNA", at positions 568 to 774 of the family's 1533-position model. The record is from RNAcentral.
AGCGCAGGUGGUUGUAUAAGUCUGAAGUAAAAGGCAGUGGCUCAACCAUUGUGUGCUUUGGAAACUGUACAACUUGAGUGCAGAAGGGGAGAGUGGAAUUCCAUGUGUAGCGGUGAAAUGCGUAGAUAUAUGGAGGAACACCGGUGGCGAAAGCGGCUCUCUGGUCUGUAACUGGCACUGAGGCUGAAAGCGUGGGGAGCAAACA